GGGUUCAUUGCGUCAUUAAUAGGCGGGAACAGUGCCCCUGUGUUGAGGCUGCAGAGGCCCUAAUUGGUUUUCCCAAGACAGAGGGGCAUAUGAGAUUGAACAAAUAUUUGUUGAAUGAAUGAACAAAGGGAACGCCUUUUAGGGAUGUUUCUGGGGGAAAGGCCUGAGGUUCUCCAGGAGGGUCUGCAGCUAGGGUCGGCCGUGGGGGCUCGCAGCCCGCGGGACCACCGGACCUGCAAGCGUCCCCCUGCCCCGCCCCCGCCUCGGCGCUCUGAGCAAUUGGACUCUGCCAGCUCUAACUCCGGCGGGACUCUGAAACUCAGGCAAGAGCCGAGAGACAGGAUUUCACCAUGUUGGCCGUGCUGGUCUUGAACUCCUGACCUCAAGUGAUUUGCCUGCUUUGGCCUCCCAAAGUGCUGGGAUUACAGACAUGAGUCACCAUGCCCUGCCUGCAGCUUCUUCUUGAAGUGUUCUGGACUUGGAAGAUUUGUUGAAUUACUAUGAAGUCACAUCUAAAGUUUGAAAGAGAUCGGGUCUCACUAUUUUGCCCACGCUGGUCUUGAACUCCUGUCCUCAAGCAGGAUAUCCUCCUGCCUUGGCCUCCCAAAGUUCUGGGAUUACAGUCUCGCUCUGUCGCCAGGCUGGAGUGCACGCUGGAGCGCGAUCUUGUCUUACUACAACCUCUGCCUCCCAGAUUCAAGCGAUUUUCCUGCCUCAGCCUCCCGAGUAGCUGGGACUACAGGGACGCACCACCAUGCCCAGCUAAUUUUUGUAUUUUUAGUAGAGAUGUGGUUUCACCAUGUUGGCCAGGAUGGUCUUGAUCUCUUGACCUCGUGAUCCACCCGCCUCGGCUUCCCAAAGUGCUGGGAUUAUAGGCAUAAGCCACCACGCCUGGCCUGAAAUUAUUUUUCUAUACAGUUCUUAGAGGAAGUGUUUGGGUCACCUACAUAGGCAUGUAGUUCUUGACACUGGUUACUAGAGGAUUUAUAGAGGAUGUUCAUAUAUUCAACAAGCAUUUGUUGAAUACCUAUUAGGUGCUAGCCAUGGAAAUAUGGGAUUGAAAAAAACAGACAAAAAUCCCUAAUCUCUCUUACAAUCUAGUGAGGACAAUCAGACAGUACACAAAAUAAGCAUAAUAUAUAGUAAUCAUGUGGUAGUAAGUUCUAUAGAGCAAAAACAAGUUUAAAGAAGGAGGUUGGGGGGAGUGUUGAGAUGCAUAAGGUUUGCAGUUAUAAAUGUGGUGGUUAGGGAAUCAUUUGCUGAAAAAUGAACAUUGAGCAAAAACCUGAAGGAUGUUAAAGGAAUAAGAUACAUGUAAUCCAGAUGAAAGUUUUUUGGAUAAAGGAAAGAGCAAUUGCUAAAUCCCUGAGGUGGGAGUGGGCUGUUCAUAAGACAGCAAAGCAGCCAGGGUAGCUGAGUGAUUGACAGCGGAAGAUGGAAAAUGGGGAAUAGUUGGUGUAGGACCUAGUUGUGAGGAUAUUGACUUUGUUUUUUUUCCAAGACAGAGCUGUGCUCUGUCGCCCAGGCUAGAGUGCAGUGGCAUGAUCUUGGCUCACUGCAAUCUCCGCCUCCCGGGUUCAAGCAAUGCUCCUGCCUUAGCCUCCCCAGUAGCUGGGAUUACAGGCACCUGCCACCAUGUCCAAUUAAUUUUUGUAUUUUUAGUAGAGAUGGGGUUUCGCCAUGUUAGCCAGGCUGGUCUUGGACUCCUGACCUCAAGUGAUCUGCCCGCCUCAGCCUCCCAAAGUGCUGGGAUUACAGGCGUGAGCCACCAUGCCCACCCUAGGAUAUUUACUUUUAUUUUGAAUAAGGAUGCCACUGGAGGCCAGACGUGGUGGCUAACGCCUAUAAUCCCAGCACUUUGGGAGGACGAGGCGGGUGGAUCACGAGGUUAGGAGAUUGAGACCAUCCUGGCCAACAUGGUGGAACCCCGUCUCUACUAAAAAAAAAAAAAAAAUUAGCCAGGUGUGGUUGCAUGCGCCUGUAGUCCCAGCAACUCAGGAGGCUGAGGAAGGAGAAUCACUUGAACCCGGGAGGUGGAGGUUGCAGUGAGCCGAGAUCGCCCCACUGUACUCCAGCCUGGGUGACAGAGCAAGACUCUGUCUCAAAAAAAAAAAAAAAAAAAAAUGCCACUGGAGAGCUUUGAGGAGAGGAUCAGUCUGGCUACUGGGUUGGGAAUUAAUCAUAGCAGGCAAAGGCAAAAGAAGUGAGGUUAGUUAGGAGGCUUUACAACAACCCAGAUGAGAGAUGGGAGGUUUUAGCCAGGGAGAUGGAGAUGUUGAGAGAGUAGCUGGACUCAGGAUUGUGACAGUGGACUGAAGGAAAAGCAGGUUUUGGGGGAAGAUUGCAUUUCUCCCUUCAACUUCAGUUACGUAGAUCACCCAUAUGCCACACAACUGCAACUCUGUAACAGCCAAUUUUUAGCUUCUUCCUUAUCUAAGCCAUCCUGUAGGCCAUAGGAAUUAAAACUAGGUUGGAUCAAGGAAAAGUGAAUGCUAGAUCCAUACAAAACUAUUUGGAUAUUUGCCUUUGUAUUUUAUUGUUUUGAAAUUAUUUUUAAUGGUUCAAUAAACUCUUACUAGAACUACAAGCAAUAUAAUUAUUUCCUCUGCUUUAUUAGAAAUGUUUUUGUAAUCAUGUUAAUUAUAUUACUUUUAACUAUAUAAGGCUUGUGUCUCUUUUUUAUAAAUUGAUGUUUAUAUCCUCUGUAAGAUAAAUAUAAAGGCUUUUUGUUCAUAUGAGGAUGUGCUGUAAGAUUGCAGGGAGUAUAAAAAUUGGCAAUGGAGUAGGUGACUUGUAUUAUUAGUCUGAUCUUAAUGUUGUAACAUACUGAUCAUGCAAAAUAUAUAAUUAGUUUGUUUUUGCUAUUUAAUAUGUGUAGGACUGUAACAAACAGACUAGAGAAGAUGGCCAUAAGUUACAAGAAAGCAAGUAAAUUACUAUCUAAUUAAAAGUAUUUGAUUCUAAUACUAGCAGAGUUCUGUCUAGAAAAUAAAUUAACUUUCUGUAUGCUUUUUUUGGUCUCAAUUUUCCAAUAAUUUCCCUCAACUCUGAUAUGUGUCUGUUGAAUAAUAUUUCUGAUGUUAAGAAUUAAAGGGGGUGUAGAUCAGUGGUAGGGCGCACGCUUAGCAUGCAUGAGGCCCUGGGUCAAUCCCCAGCACCUCCACAAAGGUUUUCUGGCUGGACACGGUGGCUCACACCUGUAAUCUCAGCAUUUUGGGAAGCUGAGUUGGACAGAUCACUAGAGGUCAGGAGUUCGAGACCAGCGUGGCCAACAUGGUGAAACCCUAUUUCUACUAAAAAUACAAAAAAAUUAGCCGGUCACGGUGGCACACACCUGUAAUCUCAGCUACUUGGGAGGCUGA
Molecule: transfer RNA, 3362 nt
Filed under: Homo sapiens (human)
Lineage: Eukaryota; Metazoa; Chordata; Mammalia; Primates; Hominidae
Description: HSALNT0295648
Rfam family: tRNA (bases 3093-3163)
Source: RNAcentral